AGAGUUUGAUCAUGGCUCAGGACGAACGCUGGCGGCGUGCCUAAUACAUGCAAGUAGAACGCUGAAGAAAGGAGCUUGCUUCUUUUGGAUGAGUUGCGAACGGGUGAGUAACGCGUAGGUAACCUGCCUUGUAGCGGGGGAUAACUAUUGGAAACGGUAGCUAAUACCGCAUAACAGCUUUUGACACAUGUUAGAAGCUUGAAAGAUGCAAUUGCAUCACUACGAGAUGGACCUGCGUUGUAUUAGCUAGUAGGUAGGGUAACGGCCUACCUAGGCGACGAUACAUAGCCGACCUGAGAGGGUGAUCGGCCACACUGGGACUGAGACACGGCCCAGACUCCUACGGGAGGCAGCAGUAGGGAAUCUUCGGCAAUGGGGGCAACCCUGACCGAGCAACGCCGCGUGAGUGAAGAAGGUUUUCGGAUCGUAAAGCUCUGUUGUAAGAGAAGAACGUGUGUGAGAGUGGAAAGUUCACACAGUGACGGUAACUUACCAGAAAGGGACGGCUAACUACGUGCCAGCAGCCGCGGUAAUACGUAGGUCCCGAGCAUUGUCCGGAUUUAUUGGGCGUAAAGCGAGCGCAGGCGGUUUAAUAAGUCUGAAGUUAAAGGCAGUGGCUUAACCAUUGUUCGCUUUGGAAACUGUUAAACUUGAGUGCAGAAGGGGAGAGUGGAAUUCCAUGUGUAGCGGUGAAAUGCGUAGAUAUAUGGAGGAACACCGGUGGCGAAAGCGGCUCUCUGGUCUGUAACUGACGCUGAGGCUCGAAAGCGUGGGGAGCAAACAGGAUUAGAUACCCUGGUAGUCCACGCCGUAAACGAUGAGUGCUAGGUGUUAGGCCCUUUCCGGGGCUUAGUGCCGCAGCUAACGCAUUAAGCACUCCGCCUGGGGAGUACGACCGCAAGGUUGAAACUCAAAGGAAUUGACGG
RNAcentral lists this ribosomal RNA (926 nucleotides) under uncultured bacterium. Its description in RNAcentral is "bacterial SSU rRNA". It matches the Rfam family "Bacterial small subunit ribosomal RNA", at positions 8 to 916 of the family's 1533-position model. The record is from RNAcentral.